Molecule: long non-coding RNA, 1103 nt
Filed under: Monodelphis domestica (gray short-tailed opossum)
Lineage: Eukaryota; Metazoa; Chordata; Mammalia; Didelphimorphia; Didelphidae
Description: lncRNA (ENSMODG00000050394.1)
Source: RNAcentral
CUUCCUGUCUCUAGGCCUGGCUCUCAAACCACGGGGCCACCGAGCUGCCCUCCUCCACAAUCUAUUCUUUUCUGAGGCACUGAGAGGUUUAGACAUUUGCCCAGGGUCACAAAGUCUGCUUCAGAGGCUUGGUUUGAAGUUGAUUCUUACUGACUGGGCACUAUUCAUUCCAUACAAACACAUUUCUAUUGAUAUGGACAUCUCUGGGUAUGUAUAUGCUUCCAAAUACAUACAUACACAUAAUGGAGGUAUUGUUUUCCACAUUUACUGAGGAGAUAAAUGAAAUUGAGUGAAGGCCAAGGUAGUUGAGUUAAGAGAGAUGACUGAAAAAAGAGGUUCAAGAGGUUUUGAAUAUUUGUUGGUUACUGAUCUGUGAAUUUUAACAUGUAACUUAUUAAACUUUGAGAAGAUGAUUAGCUGAUUCAGCCAGUUCAAUUUAAUAAAAAUCUAGUAAGUGUAGCUACUCUGUACAGAGCACUGUACAUGUUUUUAGGGAGAAAAGUUUAAGGACCACUUUCUACCCUUAGGAAACAGUCUAGUAAUUCAACAUGAGACCCAAUCACACUGACAACUAAAAUGAAUUGUCCAAAGGGCACAGAUUGUUUUCCUAUCUUUUUUUCCCUGCACCCCAACCCCUAGCACUGCACCUUGUCCAUGACAGAUAUUUAGAUACUGUUGAACUGAAUACAAACCAAGUGUAUAAUUCUGGACACCAGGGAAACAAAACCCAAACCAGUCAUUGUCCUUUAAGGAGUUUGCAAUCUCUGGGGAAGAUGUAGUAAGUAUAUAGAUGAUGUGAAAAUUACAGGAGAGAAUAGUAACCAGGGAAAUCGGGAAGCAUUCUGUAAGAGGUAGUACAUGAGCUGAGCUUAGGAGAUUUUGAGAGGCAGAGGAGGAAUGGAAAACAUUCCAGGUAGAGGUGCAAGAGAAAAAACAAGAAAUUGGCAUGUUGAUUUUGAGGAACAGCAAAGAGGUGUGUGCGAGAACAAAGAGAACAGCAAAGAGGUGUGUGCGAGAACAAAGAGAACAGAGUGUGUGAGAAAGAGUAAGUUCAUUGGAAAGUAGCCAAGUAUGCAAAGAUGCUUUAAUUGUUGACAGAAGGG